AUCAUCCCUAGCUAAAUAAAGCAUGACAUCAGCCAGAAUGUGGAAAUAAAGGAAGACUGUGAAAAAGAAAGAAAAAGGCAAGCCAGUUGGAUUAUGAAGGGAGGAGAAAAGACAAGACAGGAAAAGAGAUGCAAGUAUGAAACCAUGAUACACGUACAUAUAUGUAACGUGCUUACCUCUCUACAAAGUGUGAUGCAGUAAACAAGGAGAACUCCCAGGGUGGAUCCAGUUAAAAAGAAAACCCAAGUAUAUUGCCUGACUGUCAAGUGAGUCUCCUAGAUGGUGCCAGGGCUUGAACCCAGACCAUGCAUAUGGCAAUGCAGACACUCUACCUGGUACACUACGUCUUUAUCCUUUAGCUCCAUCCUGAUGUUACUGGUUUGGACUAUUAUU
Long non-coding RNA from Erinaceus europaeus (western European hedgehog), 393 nucleotides. RefSeq lists it as uncharacterized. The transcript has 4 exons. The record is from RefSeq and is a predicted model, not a curated record. Lineage: Eukaryota; Metazoa; Chordata; Mammalia; Eulipotyphla; Erinaceidae.